ACUGAACGCUGGCGGCAGGCCUAACACAUGCAAGUCGAGCGGAUGAAGGGAGCUUGCUCCUGGAUUCAGCGGCGGACGGGUGAGUAAUGCCUAGGGAUCUGCCUGGUAGUGGGGGAUAACGUCCGGAAACGGGCGCUAAUACCGCAUACGUCCUGAGGGAGAAAGUGGGGGAUCUUCGGACCUCACGCUAUCAGAUGAGCCUAGGUCGGAUUAGCUAGUUGGUGGGGUAAAGGCCUACCAAGGCGACGAUCCGUAACUGGUCUGAGAGGAUGAUCAGUCACACUGGAACUGAGACACGGUCCAGACUCCUACGGGAGGCAGCAGUGGGGAAUAUUGGACAAUGGGCGAAAGCCUGAUCCAGCCAUGCCGCGUGUGUGAAGAAGGUCUUCGGAUUGUAAAGCACUUUAAGUUGGGAGGAAGGGCAGUAAGUUAAUACCUUGCUGUUUUGACGUUACCAACAGAAUAAGCACCGGCUAACUUCGUG
Molecule: ribosomal RNA, 484 nt
Filed under: uncultured bacterium
Lineage: Bacteria
Description: partial 16S ribosomal RNA
Rfam family: Bacterial small subunit ribosomal RNA
Source: RNAcentral